AACGAACGCUGGCGGCAUGCCUAACACAUGCAAGUCGAACGAGACCUUCGGGUCUAGUGGCGCACGGGUGCGUAACGCGUGGGAACCUGCCCUUAGGUUCGGAAUAACUCCCCGAAAGGGGUGCUAAUACCGGAUAAUGUCUUCGGACCAAAGAUUUAUCGCCUUUGGAUGGGCCCGCGUUGGAUUAGCUAGUUGGUAGGGUAAAAGCCUACCAAGGCGACGAUCCAUAGCUGGUCUGAGAGGAUGAUCAGCCACACUGGGACUGAGACACGGCCCAGACUCCUACGGGAGGCAGCAGUGGGGAGUAUUGGACAAUGGGCGAAAGCCUGAUACAGCAAUGCCGCGUGAGUGAUGAAGGCCUUAGGGUUGUAAAGCUCUUUUACCCGGGAUGAUAAUGACAGUACCGGGAGAAUAAGCUCCGGCUAACUCCGUG
Molecule: ribosomal RNA, 433 nt
Filed under: uncultured bacterium
Lineage: Bacteria
Description: partial 16S ribosomal RNA
Rfam family: Bacterial small subunit ribosomal RNA
Source: RNAcentral